AAGUCGUAACAAGGUUUCCGUAGGUGAACCUGCGGAAGGAUCAUUAAAGGUUUAGGGUACCCAGUGCCCAAACUUCAACCCUAUGUUUUAACUAAACUUGUUUCUUUGCCGGUUUCGACCGGCAGAAGUUUUCUUAAACUCAUUGUAAACGUGUCUUCUGAAUCAAAAAUUAAAUAAUUUAAAACUUUCAACAACGGAUCUCUUGGUUCUG
Molecule: unclassified non-coding RNA, 211 nt
Filed under: Lecanoromycetes sp.
Lineage: Eukaryota; Fungi; Ascomycota; Lecanoromycetes
Description: partial contains small subunit ribosomal RNA, internal transcribed spacer 1, and 5.8S ribosomal RNA
Rfam family: Eukaryotic small subunit ribosomal RNA (bases 1-46)
Source: RNAcentral